UACGGAGGGUGCAAGCGUUGUUCGGAAUUACUGGGCGUAAAGCGCGUGUAGGCGGUCUCCUAAGUCUGGUGUGAAAGCCCGGGGCUCACCCCCGGAAGUGCACUGGAUACUGGGAGACUGGAGUACCGGAGAGGAGGGUGGAAUUCCUGGUGUAGCGGUGAAAUGCGUAGAUAUCAGGAAGAACACCGGUGGCGAAGGCGGCCCUCUGGACGGAUACUGACGCUGAGACGCGAAAGCGUGGGGAGCAAACAGG
This 253-nucleotide ribosomal RNA is filed under the name uncultured bacterium. Its description in RNAcentral is "partial 16S ribosomal RNA". It matches the Rfam family "Bacterial small subunit ribosomal RNA", at positions 524 to 776 of the family's 1533-position model. The record is from RNAcentral.